AAAAAUAGACCAUACUACCCCUAAACCUAGUAAAUAAAAUCACCAAAAACAGAGAAAACAGCUGCAACAACUAGAGAAAAAGGAAAAAAUAGUAGCUAAAAGAGGAAAAAGAGAUCCCCAAGUUCAAUUGGUCUCAAAAUCGGAUGUAAGUAUUCACUCACUUCUAUGCAUGUCUUCUAGUAAUUUUACCUGAGGUAUUAUGAAUUAUCAAGUGAGCUAGUUAUUUUAUUUUGUUGGUUAUGGGUUUCUCAUUUAAUCACCAAGUUGUGAUAUUUUAAAUUUUAUAAUCAAUGUAAAAUGUUUCCAUUUAUAUCACCAUGUGUUGACCUUUCAUUUCAUUUAUUCAUUUAUUUUUUCUUUACGAGACCUAAUCAAUAGCAUACAAAAAAUUAAAGAUUUGUUCAAGAUUCAUUGGAAAAACUAAAGAUAAGAGUGAUAAAGGAUACAAUUAAUUUCUUUGAUUUAGUAUUGCAAUCUCUGAGAUUUUAAGUUCUAAGCAAGAGAGCGCAUAAUUUAUCAUCUUAACCGAUGAUUUUGUCAUUCAAAAAUAUUCUCUGGCUCAUUCUAACUGGUAUCAAACUAUUCUUUUUGUCAUGUUAGAAAGAAACUUAAAUUGUUAAAGUCUUCAUUAUAAAUUUUGUUUCAAAUUCCUUAUAUUAGUGCUUUUGCUUCUUUUUUUUAAUCUCUUUUUAUGUCAGGUUUGUGAAGAAAAAGAGAGUGAGCAAUUAGUGCAGACAGUGUUCAAACAACAUAAACAAGAGUUGAUAGCUAAGAUCUAUCUCAGUGAGGAUACACAUAUAGAGUCUUCAUAUAUCGAAGAAAAAUUUGAAUUACCACUAUCAUCGUUAGGUUUGUCUUGAGCUAUUCUAUUAUAUGUAAAUAAAUUUUAAAUAUAAGUACAUUUGUCCAAGAUUAUUUUUGUCUUCAUGUUAUGAACUUCCCACAAUCCUACAUUAUUGCUACUCAAAAAACAAUUUAAUUUUCUCUUCAUAUGUUAUUCGUAGUAUCUAUAAAAAUGUUGAUUAAACUUUUUGCCCUUUCUUAAAAUACUCUACUAUAGACAAAAUUUUCAUUUACUAUUUUUCUCAAAUUAUUAUUCAGUUAUCUUUAUGAUAUUGAAUCUUAAAAUAUAUGAGAAGAACGAUCACUCCUAAUAUAUAUGGUAAAAAGAAAUAUAAACUAACAUGUAAAAAUUUAAGGAUCGCUAAAAUAAUGGUAAGAGAAAAAUAUAUGGUACGGUAUACUAAAAGAAUUAAUAAGGAUAAUUAAUGUCAAUAAAAGGACUCCUAAAAGAUAUAGUAAUCUAUAAUACAUUUGAACUCCUUUUCUACUUAAACAAUGAAUCAUAUAAUAACAUGAUAUUUGAUGAUAUGUAUGUUUCAACAACGUAGUAUUUGCUUCGCACCUAGUAUUAGCUUAGAUUUUUGUUUAAGAUCAAAAUGAAUGACAAAUUUAUGAUUGAUAUUUAAUCUAUUUGUAAUACUUAAUCAAAUUUAUACAUUACAAUUUUAAGAAUUAUUUAAUAAAAGAUUCAAGUUAGCUAAAUAUUUAUUCACAUUUAAGCUAAAUCUAAUUUCGAGUAUAGCUAGUGAUUCUCGAAGAAUAUGAUAUGUGAAAAUGUAUUAAAGAGGAGUGUGAAUGAACUAAUAUUAUUCACCUUAUUUGAAAAUUUUAAAGUUUGAGUUGGAGAUGGAGUGAGAAUUGUGUUGGGAAUAACAUGUACGUCUAAUGUUGAUUGAACUUCUUACCCUUCAUUAAUUUUUUUUUACAAUAGAUAAAAUUGUCAUUUACUAUUUUACUCAAAUAAUUGUCAUAAUUUUUAUGCUAAUAUUUAGGACAUGAAAUGUAAUUAAAGUUAUAGUUAUUAAACUUACUUAUUUGUAAUAUGUAAGAACUUCUAAUAUUUAUUACUUUAAAAUUGACUCAAAUUCUAUUUCUUAAAUAUUUUUUUAUUUGAACUAUAUUAAAAGUCCUAACAUUAAGACUUUAAAAUCAAUAGUUUUACCUGAUAUAAAUCUUAUUUGAAUUAUAGUAAACGAAUUAAAAAUAUUAAAGAAAGAGAUUCACAUAUUUUAAACUAAAAUUUUAACUUUCAUGUGAAAUGCUUAUCAUCUGGAUAGAUAUAACAUUUAUUUUAAUGUCGAUUGCUAUUAUAAAAUAAUUUUAUUAUUUUAAUAUAUAAUUUUAUUAAUUGAUGUAAGACACACGUGCAAAGCACGUCCACUAAAUUAGGUCUAAUGAAAAACCUAUAUUAAAAAAGAAGAAGUUAAGAUUAGAAAAAAGAACUAAGCAGAAGGAUUCAAUACUCUUAUACAUCUAGUGAUUUGAGAUCUAACAAUGAAAAUUGUUAGUAAAUCCAAGAAAGUUCUGAAAAUCUAACUAAAAAGCAUAUUUUUACAAUAGGGUAAUCUGUUGAAGGAAAAUUAGAAAAUAUAACUUGAAUGUAAAAAGCGUGUUUUCUAAAACUGGAGUCAAAAUGAAUAGUAUGGGUUGUAAAUCUAUAGGAAAAGUACAUAAUGUGCAAUUCAUUUAUAGACUUAACUAAAUCACAAAGUAAUAAAAAUAUUGUUGCCUAUAGAUUAUGCUACUUUCUUCUAAAAGUUUCUCAAACAUAUUUAGUCAAACCACCUUAUUUUUCCUAAUUCCUUUGUAAUAGCAAAAAAUAAGACUGUACACCAAUAAAAGACUAGAAUGAAAAUGGUAAAUUUUAAAGCGAAAUGCAUUGCAACUUUAAAAAAGGGAAUGGAAAGACUUCUCAAGAAAGCACAUAACUUUGAUUACAACGGGAACAUGUGUUGUCAUUCCUAUUUAUUCUCCUAGUGGUAAACUAUAAUUUUAUGAUUCCUCUAAUAAUUUUACUAUAAUAGAUGAUCUCCUAAACCAAAAUUUAGAGAAUGUUGUCGUUGAUCCAAUUGACGUGAAGACUUACGUGGUCAAUGAAAUUACAAUUUAAUAAUUUAAUAGAUCUAAGUCAUUGGUUUGAUAGUCACUAGGGAAAAGUUUAUCCAUCUUAUUUACUUUUGAAUUGCCAGUAAAGCUCGUUUUUUUCAAUAUGUGAAUUAUUCUAUUGGUUAAUUGUUGUCCUCUCAUUUUUAGUUGCUUGAUAAUUUUAGUCGUAUCUUUCAGUCCUCCAUGAUAUUAAACUAUGAAGCAUAAAGUCUUAUGGUGUACUUUUUUCCUUUCUACUUCAUCGGAUGACCUAAUAAAAUAAACUUUUCUCGGUUAAAGAAUUUGACUCUUUUCUAUUAAGUCAAUUCCUUUAAUAGAAAGUACUUUAUUUUAUUAGAAUGCCCUUAUAAGGGAGAAAAGGAAAAAUACACCACAAAAUAGACUAAAACUUGAAAGACAACAAUCAACCAUCCGAAAGACUAACAUAUUCAAAACAAAUAUACUUCACUAACAAUUCUAAAGUAAAUAAAACAAGAUGGAUAAAUUUUUCUCUAAUGACAAUCGAAUCAUUACCCAACUCUAUUUAAUUGCAAAUUAAUGAACCGUAUAAACCUUCACAUCAUCUCGAUCAACAACAAUGUUCUCUAAAUUUUGAUUUAGGAAUGUAUCUAUUGUAUUAAAAUUAUAAGAAGAAUCAUAAAAAUAUGAGUUACCACUAGGGGAAUAAACAAGAAUAACAACAUGUUCUCCCGUUGUAAUUGAAAGUUUAUGUGCUUCUUUGAUAAGUCUUGGCAUUCCCUUUUUGAAAGUUGCAAUGCGUUUUGCAUUAGACCCAAUUAUCUUCAUUUCAGUCUUUUGUCAGCGUAAAUGUUAUUUUCUACCAUUACAAAGACAUUAGAGGAAAUAAGGUGGUUUGACUUAAUAGAGUUAAGAAACUUUUAGAAGUAAAUUGCGUAAUUUAUAGGCGAAAAUAUUUUUAUUUCUUAGAUAACAACCUUAGUUUCAAACUCGAUUUGAUCAACAAAAGCAAUAUUUAGUUACUAUGCAUAUACUAAUCCAAAGUAUUAAAAUUUUACUUUCCGCACAUGUUUUAGAAAUAAAGUUCUGAUGAAUUACGACUGAGAGUAAUAUUCUCAUUAUAUUCUUUAUCGAUUUUGACCCAGCCUUAUUGGGUUUUAUUGUAACACCCCGCAACUAGAAAGAGCUAGAAUUAGAAAGAGUCAUUUUUGGAAAGAAUGAAAAAUCUGGAAAUUUGACAAAGUUAAGUUAAGAAUGAGUUUAUGGUCAACUUCAAACCACAAUAACUCCUAUCUCAGGAUGAUUUAGGUGUGCUACAAGGUACCGUAGGAAAUAUCUUUGAAUUUUCUUUCCAACGCCACAGAGUUUGAUCAGUUUUGAGUUCGUAUGAGUGAGAUAUGCCCAUUUGAAGUUGGGUUGUCUAGAUAAGGAAAGUCAAAACUAGAUUUUAGAAGGGUAUUAUGGUCUUUUCACUACCCAAUCAGCUUAAUUCGUGUUUGUUAAUUACUGAGGGGUCCAAACAGAAUUAGAUCAGUUUACGCUUUACCAAAUUACGCUAGGGUUUUUGGAGAAAGAACUCAAGAGGAGAAAGGAGAAGAAAAGGUCUAGAUUCGUCGUCUUCGUGAGGAAUUGAUUGCAGAUUUCACCAAGGAUUCAAUCCUACAUGGUAUGUGAGUUCAUAUAGCGUUGGGUUCGUUCAUCCACGCGCCCAACAUGUUUAUUUCAGUAUGAUUUUCAUCCUAAAAGAUAGAGACUUUGAUGUUCUUGAGUUGUAUUCUUGAAUUGCUUUCGUUCUUGAAUUUGGCGUGAGAUUGAAGAGUUCUUCAGAGUUUAAGGUCUAUUUUAGAGUUGUGUUUGAUUAGAUUCUUGUGUACAUAUGUUGGGUAUCUUAAUCUAAAGAGGAAUUGCGAAAUAUAAUCGAAUUUAGGUGAAUUGGGGUUAGAAAACAAAGAAGGAACAAGUCAGGCAAAUCUGGGUACCAGGUCCGCGUCGCGGACCUAUUCCUCAGGAUUGAAAAAAUUUUCUCCGCGUCGUGGAGUGAUCACGGACCUUUCUGCCUCAAAAAUUAUUUCGCGACCAAAUAAGUAAAAGUUGUCCGCAUCGCAGACUUGCUUACAGACAUUGAUUUCUUGAUCUUUUCUCAUGUUUAACUAUCUAAAAACACUCCUAAACAUCAUGAGAUCUUUCCUAUCACAAACCACAAUCCUUGAAUCUAUAAUUCAAUUCAAGGAAAGUUAAGAGAAGUUAAGAGACAAGUCAAGAGAAGUUCAUUGAAUUUUCCAAAAGUCCUUCACAAAUAUUUUAACUUUGUUUUAAGACAAAAGCUUUGAGUUGAGUAAAGAGUAAGAGUAAAAUUCAUUUUUUCAAAGAUUAUACGGGAACUAAGUAUUCCCAAGAGUUAAAAUGUUUUCACAUUUGAGCAAUAAAGGAAACACUGAUUUCCAAGAGAGUUUUUAAGCUAAGUUUUGACUAAUUAUCUCAAACCAAAGAAAGAGUUUUGUUUUAAAAAAUAUGAGCUGAGUAUAUUUUUGGGGAGUAGUAUUGAGCACCGAUAUGGGGACGCGGAUUCAUAAUAACUCAAGUCUCCAUAAACCAUGUAGCCAUCAUGGGUAGAAAAAAGAUCAUACUUUUUAGAUGAUUCCUAAGUGUUGUUUAGCAUAGACUAGUGGAUCCACUUAGUUAAGGCGUUUUAUAUGACGACAAAAUAUAGAACAAUUCUGGUAGCGUGGGCAAGACGUUGUAUUAUCACUUAGGCUCAUAGUGGUGGUUGUCGGUUAGAGAAACUCCCACAAUAUUAUAUUACUUUAUAUGUAAACCAAGUUGUUAUUGCAUUUCUUUAGCAAAUUGAGUUGCUACCUCUUGUUUUAAAAGCUUUGUAUAACUGCACUAUUAUUGUUGUUUACUUUGCAUUUGAGUUGAGUUAUUUCAUGAGUUGAGUAAAGCAAAGGUAAGUGCUCUUUUCAGAUUCCUUUCAAGCUUAUGUCUUGUUUAGUAUUCCUCUCGCAUACUCGUACUUUCAAUGUACUGAAGUCAUUUGGCAUGCAUCGUUUUAUGAUGCAGCCACAGGUAACUAGGAUCAUCAUCCAGCGCCUCAUUGAUCCAGUUGAGUUCAGAGUCAGUUGGUGAGCCUCCUUGCUAUCUGAAGGACUCCUUUUACUUUGUUUUUAGUAUUUAAGUUGGUAGGAUGAUCGGGGGUCCUGUCCUGACAUCCCUCUUUAUUUUAGAGGCUUCAUAGACGAGUAGUUAUAGUUCUUUAGUCUUUUCGUUUUUAGUUGAAUACGUUUAAGGCUUGAGUUGCCAUUUUGGCUAAGUUUAAUAUUUUUUUAAGAUAUUGCAUUAAUUAUCAUUUUUAGACUAUUUCUUGUGUUUAAACUUCCGCUGAGUAAGUAGGCCAGACCAAGGGUUUGCUUAGGGCCAACAAUGGUUCUCGAGUGCCAGUCCCGCCCAUAGUGUAGGCUCAGGGCGUGACAAACUUGGUAUCAGAGCACAGAGGUCAAGAGUCCUAGGGAGUCUAUGAAGUCGUGUCUAUAGAGUCCUAGUUAAUAGUGUGCAGCGCACCACAUCUAUAAUUAGGAGGCUCCAACACUUAGGAAAUUACCUUACUUCUUUCACACUCAUUUCGUUCAUUAGAGUUUGAUUUCAAAAAAGUUUCUUCUAAUUUGUGCUUGUGCGUGUCUUUCAGUUAAUUAUGCUUCCACGAAGAGCUGUCCGAGGUCGUCCUACAAGGAGGAACGUUGAGGAGCAAGGGGUACCUAAUGCACCUGAAGUGCAACCCCAAGGAGAAGUCACGAUUGUUGAGUUCAGGGAAACGAUUCGAAUGUCAAUCCAAGCUGUAACUAACUAGGUUGGGCAAAAAAGAGGAGCUAGACAGGAAGUGGCUGAUACUUCGAGGAUCCGAGAGUUCUUGAGGAUGAAUCCUCCGUGUUUCACUGGUUCAAGCACUACUGUGGACCCAAAGAGUUUUGUUCAGGAACUGAAAAAUUUAUUUGAGGUUAUGCACGUUGUCGAUGUUGAGAGAGUAGAACUAGCUGCAUAUUAACUGAAGAAUGUUGCUAGGACUUGGUUUGACCAGUGGAAGAAGGGUAGAGUUGAGGGAGCACCACCUGCGAGUUGGGCUUGUUUUGAGAAGGCUUUCUUGGGGCGUUUCUUUCCCCGAGAUCUGAGAGAGGCCAAGGUACGAGAGUUUCUCACCCUUAAGCAGGAUUCACUAACUGUUCAUGAGUACAGUUUGAAGUUCACCUAACUUUCCCGAUAUGCUCCGGAGAUGGUUGCGGAUAUGAGAAGUAGGAUGAGUCUUUUUGUUGUUGGGUUGUCCCUUCUGUCAAGAAAAUAGGGCAAGGCAGCCAUGCUAAUUGGGGACAUGGAUAUAGAAAGGUUGAUGGUCUAUGUGUAGCAGGUUGAGGAAGAGAAGCUGAGGGAUAAAUAGGAGUUUAGAAACAAGAAAGCGAAGACACAGAAUGAGUCCGAGCAGCAAAGAAAUAAUGCGAACUUGUCUUCUUUCUAACAAAAGCAAAAGAGACUUGCUCAAUGAUAUGCUAGUGCAUCUGCACCCAGAAACAAAAGUGAGUACAAUAGUUAUAAUUCAUAACACUUCAGGGCUAGACCUGCACAGUCUUAGGGUAGUGUGGCACAAAGGGGUAAUUGUGCUCUUGCAUGUGCUAAGUGUGGUAGGACCCACCCAGGUCAAUGUCACGAUGUCUCUACAGGUUGUUUCAAGUGUGGACAAGAGGGUCACUUCAUGAAAGAGUGCCCUAAGAACCGACAAGGUAAUGGAAAUCAGGGCAAUAGAGCAUAAUCUUUAUCAGUUGCUACACCAGAUAGGGCUGCACCUAGAGGAGCAACUUCUAGUACUGGCGGAGGAGCAAGUUGCCUUUAUGCGAUCACGAAUCGUCAAGAGCAAGAGAAAUCUCCAGAUGUUGUCACGGGUAUGAUCAAAGUCUUUACUCUUAACGUUUAUGCUUUGUUAGACCCAGGAGCAAGUUUAUCUUUUGUAACUCCUCAUGUUGCAAAUAAUUUUGAUGUUCUUCAUGAGAAACUUUGUGAACCCUUUUGUAUUUCUGUACCUGUUGGGGAGUCUAUUUUAGUUGAGCGAGUAUAUAGUGAUUGUGUUAUUUCCAUCAAUCACAAGAACACCAUGGCUGAUUUAGUUGAGUUAGACAUGGUAGAUUUCGAUGUCAUUCUUGGUAUGGACUGGCUUCAUGCCUGUUAUGGCUCCAUUGAUUGUAGAACUCGAGUUGUUAGGUUCCAAAUUCCUAAUGAGCCAAUUAUAGGGUGGAGUAGUAGUUUAGCAGUGCCUAAGGGUCGUUUCAUUUUCUUCCUCAAGACGAGAAAAUUAGUUUCCAAGGGGUGUGUCUAUCACUUAGUCCGAGUUAAUGACCCUAGUGUUGAGAUACCUCAUAUUCAGUCAGUUUCAGUAGUAAAAUAGUUUCCAGAAGUCUUUCCAGAUGAUCUUCCCGAAGUCCAUCCUGAGAAAGAAAUAGACUUCGGUAUAGACAUUUUUCCAAAUACUCGUCCUAUAUCUAUUCCGCCAUAUCGAAUGGCUCCAGCAGAGUUGAAAGUUCUAAAAUAACAGUUGAAAGAUUUCCUUGAUAAGUGUUUUAUUCGACCAAGUUUGGGAGUACAUCUCGCUUUUAGCUCGAAUGCAUGACUCAUAUGAAUAAGAGUGCAUUCUUUCAAAUUUCAAGACUUAAGCAUAAUCACGGGCUUUUCAUGCCCCUCUUUAGUCUCAUGACUUUUUGAAGACUUUUUCUUAGAGUGACUUAUCGAUAAGGAUCUAGGCUUUGCUUUUCGACUACCUUGAGUAUGAAGGGGUAGUUGAAUGGAUUUUGAGAAACGCACCAGUUUGAAUGUCUUUCUUAUGGCACAGUUCUAUUGCAUGAUUUAAAGUAUGGAAUAAGGGAAGGUUUUCUUAAAUGUGUGCAGUCCCUCAUUUAUAGAAGUGGGGCCCUAAAAACAAUAAACAAGAUACUCAUGACAUGACUUCAUAAACACCCUAGUACACUCGAACGUUGUGCUCUGAUACCAAGUUUUUCACACCCUAAAACUACACCCUAAAAGUGGCCAUCACUCGAGAACCAUUUUUUAUCCCAACGCGAACUCUUGGCUUGGUUAACUACUUGGCGAAAGACUCAUUCAAGUGGUAAUAGGCUUAAAAUAGAAUUUUGAACAUUUAAACUCAAAGUAAAUACUCAACUCAAAAUAUAUGUAAAAUACUCUAUAACUUAAGUAUAAUACUUUGAAAAAAACAUCUUAAGGAACAGUAAAUACCGAAAGACUCUUCAACUCUAUCUAUCUAGGAAGCAUUUAAUGUUUAAGAUAAGUGUCGAGACAAGACCCACGAUGCCUCAAAAUAACUAAACUGAAAGUAAAUGUUAGUUCCUCUGUAAUUCAAGGAGGCUCACCAAGAGCUAGCUUGAGUGUAGAGUGAUCUCACCGAAACGUCUAUUGAUAAUUUUAAACACCUGUAUCUACAUCAUAAAAUGAUGCAUGUCGAGUAACAUCAGUACAUAUUUGAAUGUACGAGUAUGUAAUAUAGGUUAAUAACAAAUUAUGGAACUGAAAGGACUGCAAUAGAUAAAAACUAUACUUAAGCUAUAUGUAAAGAAAUAAAAGAGUUAAAUCACUUAAAGCUAUACAAAAUACUAACUCAUUUAUGAACUCAACCUAAUAAGUGAUACAUAUUAAUACAUUUUUACUCUAUUGGGAGAUUCUCUAAUCGACAACCAUCAGUAAAAGAUACGUGAUGACACAAAAUCUUGUCCACGUUGCUAGAACUGUCUAAUAUCAUGCCGGGAUAUAGAACCUCCCAACAAAGUGUAUCCACUAAGCUAUGCCCGAAGACACUAAGGAUUCAUCUAAAAAGUAUGAUUAUGUACCCAUGUUGGCAAAACAUGGUUUAUGUGGGUUGUGAGUUGUCAGAACUAUCCCCUAUUUCAUUGCUCAAGACUACUCCCAAUAAUAUAUAUACUCUUGGUCAGAUUUAUAAAAACAUAUUCUUUCUCUGAUUUGAGAUAAUUUCUCAAAUUAUCCUCUUAAAAGAGGUAACUACUCUGAAAUAUCAAUGAAACUCUUUGCUUAUUUAGAAAACAAUGUUUCUCUUUGCUCAAUGUAAAAAUACAUUCUAGGUUGAGAUAAUUACUCAAAAGGGGCCUCUUUUAGAGGUAGCUGUUCUAUACUCAAUAUUUUUGAAAAUUCUUUUAAAUUUUUAAAAUAAGUAUUUUCUUUCUUCAUGUUAAAAUGAGUCAUUUGGGAAAUACUUAAAUCCCUUAUACUCUUUAUCAAACUCCUCUUAAUUUCCUCAAAACUCAGUUCAAAACAACAAUGUUGGCUUUAAAAGAUUCUCAAGAUUUAUAACUCAUAAUAGAGUUCAUGGUGAAAUAUAGACAUGAAUGAAUCAAUUCCGGGAUCUCAAUAACAUUAUAGAAAACUCAAUACUUAGAACACAAAAACUCAGAACUCAAUGAUACUACCCAUCUCAAGAAUACUCAAUUUGUAGGGUUCAUGCUGAAAUAUAGACAUGAACAAAUCAANNNNNNNNNNNNNNNNNNNNNNNNNNNNNNNNNNNNNNNNNNNNNNNNAGAAUACUCUCUUUCUUCAUGUAAAAAUGAAACAUUUGGGAAAUAAUUAGUUCCCUUAUACUCAUUCUCAAACUCCUCUUUACCUUCGCAAAACUCAGUUUAAAACACAAUCAUUGGCUUUAAAGGAUUCUCAAAAUUUAUAACUCAAAAUAUAGUUCAUGCUGAAAUAUAGACAUGAACAAAUCAAGUCAAGAAUCUCAAUGCAUAACAUAUAACAAUUCAAUAAUUAGGAUUUCGAAAAGAAACAAGAACUCAAGAACUAAAAAUUAACUCAUCUCAAUAAUAGUCAAAUCUAAGAAUAGAACAGUAAAUUACUCUUUUAUUGAUUUGAUUGUAGAUGUUGGGUGUGAGGAUGAACUAGUCUAACAUUAUGACAACCUUAUAUACCUAGAAGAAUGAUGUUUUUGGCGAAAUGGAUGAAACUUGAAGAACAUUUUUUCCCACUUGGUACCUUGCUCUAAUGUCUUGAAGUGUUAAUGAACGUAACAAAACUUAUUAACACUUUAUAAAUCCUUAAUAAGGUGUAAAAUGUUGUUGUUUAGGCUUAUAAUAGGAGUUAAAACGACGUAAUUUAGGUACCAAAUGCACAUGGAAAGGCAAAAAUAACCCCAGCUUAAAAAACUGGCUAGGUGCCUUAAAAAGGAGGUUUCACAGACAGUUUAUGUCUUCACAUCCGUGAAACACUUCAAGGGCUGUAUAGCCCCCCGUGAAGCUUCACCUUCAUGAUAGGGCUUCACUAAAAUGGGCAUAACAUUUUACUCCAAACUCAAAAUGAGGUAGACUUGGUGGCAAAAGAAAGAUGACUCAAAGACCUUUAAUUUGAUAGAUAAUGGGCUACCUAAUUCGUUAUGUGCUGAGAGAUAUAGUUUUUUGAAGUUGGCCCAAGUAAAAUAUUAUAUUGAAACUCAAUCAGUAAGAAAGCUUUAAACUCAACUUUACGCUAGGGUUUAUAGUGACAUUAAUUCAUAUCCAAAAUUAUUCCCACACUUAAGAAUUGGCCUUAACACCUAAGACUAACUAAGAAUCACUUGGUGAACCUUAUACACACUUUAUGAAUCAUUUGGGGGCUUAACUUGGAAUUUUUGGGGUGUUAUAUAAAGUUUUGUUAGCUAAAAAAUGUCAUUUUUUGUCUAGAAGGACCUCUCACAUCUAGAGUUUUAUGGGAUCACCCCUAGCCCCCUUGUGGUAUUGUGCUUAAAAUAGAAUCUAAGUGUGGGACCCACUUUUUAUCGAGAUGACCUUCGCUGGAAGUUUGAACAUAUUUUUCUAGUUUCGAAAGCCAAUUUUUUGGGGUAGCAUAUCUUGUUUGCCUGCACGGGUUCCAAGAAAAUCUUGAGAACCAUAUCAUGGAUUUUUAAAAUAGGCAAAACUAGCUUAUAUCAACUGGUGCAUACACUUUUUCCUGUUCACGUUCACAGGCUCCUAGCCUCGUUCAGGGUGACCAAUGGUCUUGGUCUCUGUGUUUUCGAGGUCUAUGCUGAAUUUACAGAGACCUAGGUAGUUUGUUAGGGCAUUCACGGACCAUCUGCCACAUUAGAGUAGGUAAAGGUGCCUUACCUUCAGUGAUGGUGGGCAUGGUGCUACAUUCACAAAGGGUUGGUGUUGCUGACCCUCCAAGAUUGUGGAGGUUAUUUAAUUGGAAUUUCUGUAACGACCCGUAAAACGAGUAGGUGAAACUAGAGCCUAACGAGUUUGAUUUUGAGUUUGGUGUGAGGUUAUGAGUUGAAAAGUGAUGUCCCGAGCUAUAGUUGAGGGGUUUAGGGGUUAAACAUCAAGGUACGACCUCCCAAAGACCAACCAAGGGUCCUUGAGGGGGACCCUAAAGCCUAACCCCCAAGACCCCAAGAAACCAAAAAUUGCCCCAAAUAUCAUGACCUACGGAUGGGGAACUAUGCCCCGUAGGUCCAUCCACGCCCUAUGGAUGGCCUCCAUAGGUCAAGUCCCCUAUUAGUGACCCUCAGACCCAAACCACGGAAUAGAAGGACGAGGUGUCACCCCACCUACGGUCAGUAGGUCUGGAGUCGUAGGUCACACCUGCAUGUUGUCAAAGAUUCUGCCUAUGUGGGGUUAGUUUGGUAAAUUGCUUAUUUAGUUAGUUUAGUGAAGGGACGGUUAUUAUUUUUUUAUUAAUGUAUUUUAAAGGAUUUUAAAGUAUUAAAACUCCUUUUCAACUAAUUAUUUCAAAACACAAAUAAAAAACCUCCCCUCCCCUCUAAAAGUUCUCUCUCUAGAAACCUCCAUUAGAGGUGAAGGAUUCAAGCUCUCAAGCUCAAGCUUUCAUCCUUUUCAAGAAAUUUUCGUCGAUUUUAUUCCCUAAAGGUAUGGUAGUAUUAAUCCUUGACUUAGUUUCUUUCAAUGAGCAAAUUUCAAAGAUGAUUUCAAGUCUCCAAAAUCCCCCAAAACCUAGGGUUUUCAAUCUAUGCAUGGGUUCCAUUCCAAACAUUUUCAAAAGGUUUGUAUGAUAUGAAUCAUGGUUUAAUUGAUGAUUGAAUGGUGAAUUAAGAUGAUUGAUCCCUUGAACCCAUGUUUUCCCCCAAAUUCUUAAGUUGUGAUUUGUUUUUUGGGAAUUGAUUGAUUAUGAAAGUAUGUUGAAUUGCUUAUGUUUAUAUUGAAUUAGUUGUUGAAUCAUGUUAAUUCACUUAUCUAUUGUAGUAUCUUGGAUGUAUGGGUUGAUGUUGAUUCUAGCCUCGGAAGGCAAGUUCAUGAAGAAUCU
This 13197-nucleotide long non-coding RNA is filed under the name Solanum tuberosum (potato). RNAcentral describes it as "long non-coding RNA (STUB_LNC008915)". The record is from RNAcentral. Lineage: Eukaryota; Viridiplantae; Streptophyta; Magnoliopsida; Solanales; Solanaceae.